UACGUAGGGCGCAAGCGUUGUUCGGAAUCACUGGGCGUAAAGCGCGUGUAGGCGGCUUGGCAAGUCGGAUGUGAAAUCCCGAGGCUCAACCUCGGAACUGCACUCGAAACUGCCUGGCUCGAGUCCCGGAGAGGGUGGCGGAAUUCCCGGUGUAGGGGUGAAAUCCGUAGAUAUCUGGAGGAACACCAGUGGCGAAGGCGGCCACCUGGACGGUGACUGACGCUGAGUCGCUAAAGCCGUGGGAGCAAACAGG
RNAcentral lists this ribosomal RNA (253 nucleotides) under uncultured bacterium. Its description in RNAcentral is "partial 16S ribosomal RNA". It matches the Rfam family "Bacterial small subunit ribosomal RNA", at positions 524 to 776 of the family's 1533-position model. The record is from RNAcentral.